RNA transcript from Hypanus sabinus (Atlantic stingray), 4523 nucleotides. It is a transcript of the gene named transcription factor 12-like, with no coding region annotated. NCBI's taxonomy places the organism in Eukaryota, Metazoa, Chordata, Chondrichthyes, Myliobatiformes, Dasyatidae. The transcript has 21 exons. The record is from RefSeq and is a predicted model, not a curated record.
CUCUGCUUGCAGUGUAGCCGCAGUUCGGGGGGCCUUUCACCUCAGAUAGUCCUUAAAGUUUGCAAAGGGAGGAUCCGAGUGCCGGCAUAGGGCGGGCGGGCCGGCGGUUGGGGAGGGGGUGGUAACUAUACCCCGGGAGGGCGCAGAAACCCCGCUUCCCUUUCAUUUAAUGUUGGCUUUUCGGAUGCUCGCCGAGGAGCAGCGAAUGGCAGCCAUAGGGACGGACAAAGAGCUUAGCGACUUGCUGGAUUUCAGUGCGAUGUUUUCCCCGCCUGCUUCUAAUGGAAAAAAUCGACCAACCACGUUAGGAAGCAACCAGUUUGGAGGGACAGGCCUGGAUGAGCGAACAGGGACUGGCCCAUGGGCAGGAAGUGGACAGGGCAGUAGUCCAACCUAUGAACAACCAAGAAGCUAUGGUGAGGGUUCCCACUACAGCGAUCAUACACCAAACAGGGAGUUGUCAUCAGGUGAAGGCCUUUCUUCGUCAUCCUUCAUGAACUCCGGUCUCGUUGUGAAAAAUGCAGAGAGGGUUACAUUUCCACCAUUUGGAAGAGAAUCAGCCAUGCCAGCAUUAAAUCAGGGAACCUUUAUGAAUUCUGAAAUGGGAAUGACCAAUUCAGGAACAAUGUCACCGACUGGAGUCAAACCUAGCUCCCAGUAUUACCCCUUUGCCAGUAACCCUCGCAGAAGGCCAGUGCAAGAGCCAACUAGUCUAGAAUCCCAGCCCAAGAAAGUAAGAAAGGUGCCUCCUGGCCUGCCUUCUUCGGUGUACGCUUCAACAUCAAGUGAAGAAUACAGCAGGGAUUCAGCUGGGUAUUCUUCAUCCAAGCCUUCAGGUUCUGUAUUUCCAGGGUCAUUCUAUAUUCAAGAUGGUAUUCACAACAGUCCUGAUGUCUGGAACUCAUCCAGUGGAAUGGCUCAGCCAAGUUACGGUGGUUUGAUGGGAAAUACGACAACCCAUUUGUCCCAAGCGAGUGGCUACAGCAACCUUCAUCCACAGGAGCGCCUGGGUUAUCCAAUGCACACAGUGUCGUCGACUGAAGUUAAUGGAAGUCUUCCUUCUAUGUCAGGUUUCCACUGUAGCAGUAACUCAGGUUCAGUUACGUUCGGCGUCUCAUCUCACACACCGCCAAUCAGUGGGACGGAAUCCAUCAUGACUAAUAGAGGAAGUUCAUCUGGCAGCCCACAGACCUGUGACGCACUGGGAAAGGCUCUAGCCUCGAUUUAUUCACCAGACCAUACCAGCAAUAACUUCCAUUCAAAUCCAUCAACACCAGUUGGCUCCCCACAGGCAAUUGCAGGUACAGGUCAGUGGUCUAGAACUGGGGGCCAAGGUGCACUGUCACCGAGUUACGAAGGGACGCUACAUAACCUGCAGCAGAAUAAAAUGGAAGAUCGGCUAGACAGACUGGACGACGCCAUUCACGUGCUGCGCAGUCAUGCUGUUGGGUCAGCAACAACCAUGCCCAGUAACCACAGUGACUUGCAUGUAUUAAUAGGGCCAUCGCACAAUGGCCCAGUCGGAGGUUUAAGCACAGGAUUCACACCCCCAGUCCUGUUGCCAGCAAACCGGCAUUCUAUGGUUGGAGCUCAUGAAGAAGGCUCAGGAAUAUCUAACAACCCUAGUGUUCUGCCCAGCCGUGUGCUGCCAUCACAGACCACUGCACUGUCAGAUCUUAACCGGCCUCAAGAAGCUUACAGCGGAAUGCCCGGUGGUCUGCAGAGAUCUAAUGCCAGUCAGUCUACUGCGGAUAUAAAGCAAGAAGAAAAGGAGGACGACGAAAACCACAAUUCCUCGGGUACAGAAGAGAAGUCAGAUGAUGAACGGAAAGAUUCCAAAGUGUCAUCACGGGCAUCAAGAACAAGUAGUCAAGAUGAUGACGAGCAACUUCUCCCAGAGCAAAAAGCAGAAAGAGAGCGGGAGAGGAGAGUAGCUAAUAAUGCCCGUGAGCGCCUGCGUGUGCGUGACAUCAAUGAGGCCUUCAAAGAACUUGGACGCAUGUGUCAACUCCACCUUAACAAUGACAAGCCACAGACAAAACUACUUAUUCUCCACCAGGCUGUGUCAGUCAUUCUCAACUUGGAGCAACAAGUCAGAGAGCGCAAUUUGAAUCCUAAAGCUGCCUGCCUUAAGCGAAGGGAGGAGGAGAAGGUAUCGGCAGUGGUAGGGGAGCAGCCACUGCCUCUUUCAGCUACACAUCCUGGUCUGGGAGAUAAUCACAAUGCAGUGAGCCACAUGUAGAAGUUUUAGGAAUUGCGUGAAAAUCUGAUCACAUUUAUGCAGAAAUAGAAAAGAAUCUACAAGGUUCACAAACUUUCUAAUACCACUGUACAUCUUUCGUGUAGCUCUGACUGCCUGGUUUAACUGAAGGUGGUAAGCAAGAAUGACACAUCAUCUGUCAUCUUUCUCCUUGAGGAAGAAACCUUGUUCUGCCAAAAACAAAAUGAUAAAACUGACAAAUCCUUUUAUCUGGAUCAGAAUUGCAAAUGUGAACAUGCACAUUUGUUAUAUCUAUCUAAAGAGGGGGGACAGUCGAUGCAUAUCAUUAGAAGUACUGGAUCUCUGUGCUGCAAAGGUUUUUUGCUACAGUCCAAAAGGGAAAUAAAAAACCCUUCCCCGACAGUGGAAGAAAGGAGUUAGUGCCUGAGCUUAUGUUAAAUCCCAGUAUGUUUUAAUGAAACCUGCAAGGAUGCGAGGUUGUUUUGGAACAAAAUUUCAACAAAGUCCUUUUUGCUUGUUUUGUAAGCAAGUUGUCUUAUUGUUUAACAAAAAAAAAUGUCCUUGGUUUACAGCAUUCCCAGAAAAUAUUUGUCUUACUCAACUGACACGCAACCACUCCACGUCUCCCUAGUACUUGACUGGGGUGGGGGAGGAUGGGAGGGGAUUGUUAGCCAAUGGACAAAAUAUCCUACAGACCUUCUCUUGUCCUGCAUUUGCGAUCAGGUAAAUGUGGAGGGCCAACAUAAUGAGUGCAUUACUGAAGCUAGUUCAUUCAUUUGUAGGGAGUUAUUUUAUGUAAAAUGAGCAAAACUAUAUUUUUGCAUUAUUAGACUUUACAUUGUAGUUUUUUAAGGUAGCUGGACAUAGUGCGUACUCAGAACUUGAAAGGUCUUUGGAGACUUUCAUAUUGCAGUAACUGUUGCUGCAGAUUCUAGAUAAUGUAUGACCAUAGGUUUGUCAUGGAUUUAUUCAAGAAGUGGGAAAACGUUUCCACGCUAUUGUAGAUUCCUACACAAUGUAAUAUUCAAAUGUUUAAAAAUUCUUAUGAAUUGGUCGUGGAAUCUAAUAUGGAUUGUGAGCAACUUACGUAACAGUGGCUUGCCUCAUGCCAAGCUGAAUUCAUUUCUGCCGCAGCCUGUGUACUGUGGAAACGAACCCAUUGCAAAUAAAAAAAAACACGGAAUCAGUCUUCCACUGAAAACGUAUAUUCACAGACUCUCACCAGCCAAGCAGAAGACAGUACUUUUGACAUAACUUUUUUUAUUUUUAAAAAAGGUGUGAACAAGUGGAAAACGGACAACAAAACCGUGGGACUGAAUGAACAAAAUUUUUGACAUUUGAGGGUAAAAUGCCUGACAUUACUAGAACUGCAUUAAAUAUUGUGCAGUGACAUUUCUCAGCUCAUUUUGAGUAUUGCAGAUGUAUGUAAUAGUUAAAAAAAAUUACGUGGCCUUUUCAUUCUUGUACUUGUGAUGCAAUGUGGACAGAAUGAAAAAUGACCAGUGCCUAACAUUUCAUUAAAAGCCUCUUUUUUGUCUAGUGCUUUUUUUGCUAAGAAAAGACUUGCAGUAUACCCUUACAAAGUGAAAUUUAAGGAAAAAAGUUGGCUUAUUUUCACAACAGCAAUCCUUUUAUACCAUAAAUCUUGAAAAUGUCUUGGAUUCCGAAUGUUACUUUUUGUAGAUUUUUACUCAAUGUCUGAUUCGAGAAGUUUAUUUUAGUACAUGUAGGUAAAGCUUCUUCUAGCACCCAUACAGUACUUAAAUGUUACACAAUUAGAUUUCUGAUUGUGUUGCUGAGUGCCUCGAGUUCCUUGUGUGUUUUUUUUUUGUAUUUAUACAAGCAUCAAAACAGCUGGCUGGAGUAUUCGGAAAAGUAGUUUAAAUCAUUUCCUUUUGCCUUAGUAGUUAACGAGAGCUGUCAUGUAUAUAACAGUAAUGUAGCAAUAAAUGUGCCAUUUUUAUAACAGGAAUGCCCCUCCUUUUUAAUGUCCGUUUAAUCUUGUAUACCCAAUGUCAUUGUAAUAAAGGGUUUUCCUUAAAUUUAAACAAGUGUUUCCUUUUCCACUGUGUAAAUUAACAAAUAUGUAUUAUGGAAUAGAUCAAUUAUAAUUUGCACCUAUAGCUUUUCAGUUUUGUAACAAUAGCAAAAAGUUCCCAGUUAAAAAAUGUAUUAUGUUUUGGAAGACCAUGAUUGCCCACGGGGCACAUAAUAACGAUGAUGAUUAUGUUUUCCUGAAUUACAAACUUCUGGCUAAUGUUAUCUGGCAGGGUACUUGUAAUUACACUCAACUGUAACUUCA